AGUCUUUGUUUGUAUUUUAGAAUUCACUUUCUUAAAUAAAAGCUGCACUUGGGUUCUUACAACUUGCCAUUCAGUGGACUGCUUAUUGCACUCUAAGGUUUAAGCUUGAAUUCCUCCAGGGAAUGCAUGAACUGAUUAAAAAGUGUUUACCCUCAAUGCAAUGCAGUCGCUUUGGAUAAAAGGACCUGCCAAAUGCAUAAAUGUAAAGAAUCGCAUGGACAUAUUGCAGCUCAGGGAAAAUCCACCCUGUGGAGAACAGUGACAGCCCAAGGACAUGUUCUGAAGGCCUUCAGACAAUUUGGAGAGGGAAAAAAAGUGCUAAAACCAUUGUAAACUCAUCAAACCAGCGGGAUGUGAGCUGAACUGGAUCAAGCUGCUGGAUGACUCAUCUUUUGGACCAGCUUUUUAAAGCCCAUCCACAAUUAGUCAGGGGUAUUGCCCUGUUUUCUCAAGUGCAGGUGGUCGUGUUAAUCGGACCGGCAUGCUAAUUGGGAUGCAUCUGUCCUUGUAAUCAAGGGCAGCUACCUGGAAAACUGCAGUAGACAUGCUGGCUAUAGGAAAGUGUUUUGUAAAACAUUAAAUGGGUCACAAGAAAGCAACGCACCAUUGCCCCAACACCACCUUUUUUUUUCAAUCUGCAGAAGAGCCAAAAAAAAAAAAGAGCCUUGCACGUGGAGUCCACUUUUUGGAAAGUCCAGCCGUCUUCACUGAGGCACACACGAACAUUCACAAAAUUAAUCAGAGUGUUUGAGCUACCAGGAGUAAGCCAAGGCACUAAAAGCCACUGAAUUUAUUUAGCUUUUAUUUGACAUUUUAUUUUACUAAAUAUGUUUGUAUAGUUUUAUUUGAUCUUUAUUUUGUAUUUUUGUUCUGUUUUUAUUUUUCGCUCUUAUUUAUUUGACAAUUUAAUUUCUCCAUUUGUUUUUGGCUUUUUUUGCAGAAACCAUAUAAGAAGUUUUUAAAUGUAUCUUUAUUUUUCAUACUAUGCUUAGUCUUUGAGUAUUUUUGGUAUUUUUAUGGGGGUUACAUUUCUCAGGGCUAGGGAUAUCGCUGCCUAAUGGCUUUUAUUUCUAUUUAAUUAAUUUUCAUAUUUUAUUAUUUAGGUUCUUUAAAAUAAUAUUUUUUUUUUUUUUUAUUGUAUAGUCACAAAAAUGUAUUUUAGUCUAAUCCAAUUGUAUUUAAUUUAUUCUAAUUUUACUUAAUGAAAAUGUUUCAUUUAGCUUAAAUUACGCUGCUGAUGGUCUCUUUGUAAUUGCCCACAUG
Molecule: long non-coding RNA, 1263 nt
Organism: Cyprinus carpio (common carp)
Lineage: Eukaryota; Metazoa; Chordata; Actinopteri; Cypriniformes; Cyprinidae
Exons: 3
Source: RefSeq, a predicted model, not a curated record